RNAcentral lists this small RNA (28 nucleotides) under Bombyx mori (domestic silkworm). RNAcentral describes it as "ovarian small RNA-29691". Lineage: Eukaryota; Metazoa; Arthropoda; Insecta; Lepidoptera; Bombycidae. The record is from RNAcentral.
UCUCCUUCCACUUCGACGUUGCCACGCG